Molecule: ribosomal RNA, 492 nt
Filed under: uncultured bacterium
Lineage: Bacteria
Description: partial 16S ribosomal RNA
Rfam family: Bacterial small subunit ribosomal RNA
Source: RNAcentral
AGUGAACGCUGGCGGUAGGCCUAACACAUGCAAGUCGAACGGCAGCACAGUAAGAGCUUGCUCUUACGGGUGGCGAGUGGCGGACGGGUGAGGAAUACAUCGGAAUCUACUUUUUCGUGGGGGAUAACGUAGGGAAACUUACGCUAAUACCGCAUACGACCUACGGGUGAAAGCAGGGGAUCUUCGGACCUUGCGCGAAUGAAUGAGCCGAUGUCGGAUUAGCUAGUUGGCGGGGUAAAGGCCCACCAAGGCGACGAUCCGUAGCUGGUCUGAGAGGAUGAUCAGCCACACUGGAACUGAGACACGGUCCAGACUCCUACGGGAGGCAGCAGUGGGGAAUAUUGGACAAUGGGCGCAAGCCUGAUCCAGCCAUACCGCGUGUGUGAAGAAGGCCUUCGGGUUGUAAAGCCCUUUUGUUGGGAAAGAACAGCAGCAGGUUAAUACCCCGCUGUUCUGACGGUACCCAAAGAAUAAGCACCGGCUAACUUCGUG